GCAUGAUGGCUGCUGGGCGUGGAGGUGUCGAGACUGACUGCUGGGGCUGCUCCAUCGUUGUCUGAGCCUCCCGAUGCUGCUGUUGUGGCCGUUUCUUUGAUGAGGCUCCCAGAGGCCGAGUCAUUCACUGCAGGUUGGCCGGCCUGAGGCUGCCCAUGCCCAUAUUCCGGCUGGAGCCUCUGAGGCCACACAAACGCCGGCUGGGGAGGCGAAGUGUGGAGCUGAGGACCAGAACUCCAGGAGCGUCUGGGCUGGAGACAGAACUGGGUGGGCAGGUGGGGAGGGCCUGCAGAUCUGAGUGGGCAGCAGAGGAGGAACCCAGAAGACGCCAGCAAUGGAGCUCUGCCGGGGUGGAAUAUGGCCAGGAGGGGUGGGAGCAGUGACGGCCUGUCCGGCGCUAGAACGAGGGACCGUGCUCUCAGGACCUCUGGAUGUUCCCGAAUAUCCUGAUGUUCCACCCAGAAGCCGCCAGGGCCAUCCUGGAGUACCGCAUCCGCACGCUGGGCGGGGCCCUGGAGAACGCCCAGAACCUGGGCUACCAGGGAGCCAAGUUUGCCUGGGAGAGUGCAGGCUCCGGCCUAGAGGUUUGCCCUGAGGACAUUUACGGAGCCCAGGAGGUCCACGUCAAUGGGGCCGUGGUGUUGGCCUUCGAGCUGUACUACCAUACCACCCAGGACCUGCAGCUAUUUCAAGAGGCUGGUGGCUGGGACGUGGUCAGGGCUGUGGCUGAGUUUUGGUGCAGUCGUGUUGAGUGGAUCCCCAGGGAGGAGGAGUACCACCUGAGGGGAGUCAUGUCCCCCGACGAGUACCAUUCAGGGGUCAACAACUCUGUGUACACAAACAUCCUGGUCCAGAACAGGUCAGACACAAGAUCCCCUCACCUCACCCCACCCCCGCCCCAGCUGGAGACCUGCUCCAGUGCCCCCACUAGGCAGGCAGCAGCUGGAAGCGUAGGGGUUACAGCCUCCCCCACCUACCUCCACCUCCAGCCUGCGCUUUGCUGCUGCCCUGGCCCAGGACCUGGGUCUGCCCAUCCCCAGCCAGUGGCUGGCGGUGGCUGACAAGAUCAAGGUACCCUUUGACGUGGAGCAGAACUUCCACCCGGAGUUCGAUGGGUAUGAGCCUGGUGAGUGGACCCCUUCAAGGGCUCCUCCCCUGCCGUCGAGACCCUCGAGUCUGUCCCGGAACACCCCCCAGUCAGCGGCACCUCCCUGUAGGAGAGGUGGUGAAGCAGGCAGACGUCGUGCUCCUGGGAUACCCCGUCCCCUUCUCCCUGAGUCCUGAAGUUCGCAGGAAAAACCUGGAGAUUUACGAGGCUGUGACGUCCCCCCAGGGCCCCGCCAUGACCUGGAGCAUGUUUGCUGUGGGCUGGAUGGAGCUGAAGGACGCAGCGCGGGCCCGGGGCCUCCUGGACAGGAGUUUUGCCAACAUGGCUGAACCCUUCAAGGUGUGGACAGAGAAUGCAGACGGGUCAGGUGCUGUGAACUUCCUGACAGGCAUGGGGGGCUUCCUGCAGGCGGUGGUCUUCGGGUGCACAGGGUUCAGGUAAGUGCAGAGGCUGGCAGAGGGCAGCCCACGCCCCCACCUGCCACCUCACAAACCUCUCCUCCCACAGGGUCACCCGAGCGGGUGUGACCUUUGAUCCUGUGUGUUUGUCGGGGAUCUCCAGAGUGAGCGUCUCCGGCAUCUUCUACCAGGGGAACAAGCUCAACUUCUCUUUUUCCGAGGACUCCGUGACCGUGGAGGUCACAGCUCGAGCGGGGCCUUGGGCUCCCCACCUGGAGGCUGAGCUGUGGCCGUCCCAGGCCCGGCUCUCCCUGUUGCCAGGACACAAGGUCUCCUUUCCCCGCUCGGCUGGCCGGAUACAAAGGUCACCCCCGAAGCUGCCUGGAAGUUCCAGCUCCGAGUUCCCUGGGAGAACUUUUUAAGGUGUUGGGGACCCACUCCAGAGCCCCCUCUGGGUCACCCUGGGUUCCUCCAGCCCCACUGAGUCACUCACUGUGGACCCUGCCUCUGAAUAAUCAGGAACGUUGGCUUCAGAGAUGUCUCUUGGGCUUUCCCUCUGGCCACUCCUUCUGCACCCACCCCUCCUAGGCACCCUCCUAGCCUGCCAUCCCUCGCCUGCAGCCAGGCUCUCAGGGAAGGUCCAUGCUGCUUGUGGUCACAGCGGCCGGCCGCUCUGCUGAGAAGGCAGAGAGGCAGGCGCAGGCCUCAGCGUGGACAGCAGGGAUAAGGGGCACGAAGGAUGGGGACUCGGCCCCUUCGGAAUUCCUCAGGACUCUCAGGUGCAGCUUUGCCGAAAAGGAACUUUUCAUGUCGUGCAGUUGAGGGGACUUAGUCUCAAUCCCAGGCUCCUCUUGACUCUGGGCAGCUUUAAUCAGGUUGGGCAGCCUCUGCUACAGCGUGGGGUGGGAUGGCUCUCUUUCCUCAGCCACGCAGCUUGUGAGGACAGAGGUUGGGGAGUGGGAAGUGGGAAGUCACCAGAGAACAGAAGAGGGAUUUGAGAGCGAGACCCCAGCGCUCUCCGGGGACCAGCCAGAGGGACUGGAGCCAGAUGUGCAUGGGUUCAAGGCCCUGGCCCUGCCCAGCCUCUGUCUUGGGGCCUCAGCCCCAGGGUUGGGUCGUCAGCAGUUUCCCAAGAACAAGAUGUGGUGACAUCUGCUGCUGAAACCCUGAUGAGGACCAGGCCCCCUGCACUGCUGUCAGCCUGAGGAAUUAAAGCUUUGGUGCUGGGAAGAGCAUUAUUCC
This 2748-nucleotide small RNA is filed under the name Pongo abelii (Sumatran orangutan). RNAcentral's name for it is "retained intron". Lineage: Eukaryota; Metazoa; Chordata; Mammalia; Primates; Hominidae. The record is from RNAcentral.